GAUGAACGCUGGCGGCGUGCUUAACACAUGCAAGUCGAACGAUGAAGCCCAGCUUGCUGGGGGGAUUAGUGGCGAACGGGUGAGUAACACGUGAGCAACCUGCCCCUGACUCGGGGAUAAGCGCUGAAAACGGCGCCUAAUACGGGAUAUUUCCCGGCACCGCAGUGUGUGCGGGUGGAAAGAUUUUUCGGUUGGGGAUGGUCUCGCGGCCUAGCUGCUUGUUGGUGUGGUAAUGGCUCACCAAGGCGUCGCCGGGUAGCCGGCCUGGGAGGGUGACCAGCCACACUGGGACUGAGACACGGCCCAGACUCCUACGGGAGGCAGCAGUGGGGAAUAUUGCACAAUGGGCGGAAGCCUGAUGCAGAAACGUCGCGUGAGGGAUGACGGUCUUCGGGUUGUAAACGUCUUUUAGCAGGGAAGAAGCGAAAGUGACGGUACCUGCAGAAAAAGCACCGGCUAACUACGUG
RNAcentral lists this ribosomal RNA (467 nucleotides) under uncultured bacterium. RNAcentral's name for it is "partial 16S ribosomal RNA". It matches the Rfam family "Bacterial small subunit ribosomal RNA", at positions 28 to 507 of the family's 1533-position model. The record is from RNAcentral.